This 3061-nucleotide long non-coding RNA is filed under the name Helianthus annuus (common sunflower). RNAcentral describes it as "hypothetical non coding rna". The record is from RNAcentral. Lineage: Eukaryota; Viridiplantae; Streptophyta; Magnoliopsida; Asterales; Asteraceae.
AUGAUUGGGUUUUCUGUUCGUAGAAACUUUGAGGAAUGAAAUCCCUAAUUUUUGUCAGACUUGGUGAAGUCACAAAGUUAAACUUGUCGGUAUUUGUAAAUGAGUUUAAAGGUCCUCACUUGAUAUCCUCUAUAACCAUCCGAACAUAAUUAUAUAGCCAUCAGAAUUUGUUAUGUUAAAGCCGUCCGACUUUGUGAGGAUAGUUAAGGGUGUCGGUAUUUAAAUGGUAAGCUACAGUCCGAACUUGUGAGGUAAAGUGUGAUCAGAACUUAUUAAUUGAAGAUGAGUCAGAACCUCUAGCCCUCUAAACUAUCCGUAUGGGUGGGGAACAAAAGAUGACAUUUCUUUUCUUAUGGUCUGCAUAUGUGGAGUAUAAAAAUAACCUGCACAAAUAACAUGGACAUAUAUUGUGUGCACACCAAUUAAAAGAAAAGGAAAUUUGUAUAAAUGAUGGACCGAUCACAUGAUUGGAUUAUAAUUAAUUAUUUGCUAUUUAGUAGGCCGAUCAUAAAUAUACUAAUUAUGUGCUAUUAUAGUUAGUUGAGGGCUCACUAAUUUUUGUAUGUAUUAGUAUUAUAUCUGGGCAAUGAUUUCUAGAUCAAGUGGUGGAUGAUUUGCAUUUCUCUUGAGAGAUGCUGAUUCAACUCUCACUUGGUGCAGAGUGAGUCACUGGUGGGCAAUGAUGGGAGACCCAGGAAAACUUGGGUUGGAUCAUUGAGCCAAACGGGUUUUACCGAUAAUUUCAAUGUCAUGCCUAUAGGCGGGUGAGUUACUGGGUUUUCCCCGGAAUUGGUGGUGGACUCGGGUUACUCUCGGAAUACUCCGUUUGUCCAGUGAGUGCCCCAAGAGUGCUCGGGAUUGAUUCUGUUGAUUGUUAAAAAAAAUAUUAUAUCUGAACAUAUUUGCUGCUUGAAUGAUUUCGUUUUAUAUAAAUGUAUUCGCACAUGGGGAAAAGGGUUAAACUAACAUGCAAUUGAUCUUGGAAUCCAUAUAUAUAAAUAAAUGCAGUAUGAUGACACCUAAUAUAAAAGAAGUGCUUGUGCCAUUCAAAUCAUUAUAGGGAUAGGGUCGAAUAACUUUGUUUCUAUGAGCCAAGAAUCAGAUUAAUUGAUUUUCAUAUGAACUGAUUGUUAUACGAAUUGACUUUCAUAUGAAUUGAUUCUUACAUAUGAAUUGAUUUUAUAUGAACUAGGUUUAUACCCACGCGCGCGUUGCGGCACUAAACCGAAUCGUUCUUAGUUUAAAGUAUCAAGUGAAUACAGUUAUUUGUUCUUUCUUUUGAAGUAUCAAGUGAAUUACAUACCCAAAAAUAUGAAUACCUUUGCAGUGUGCUUUCUAGAAAAUUGUUUCCAAUAAUCAAUCAUACCCUGAUAAAAGACUUGGAAGCCUAAUUAUCAUUCGGCUACGGAUUUGAUGGGCAAGGGUUUCUACCUAAAUUGUUUUAACCAACUACCUAAGUUGCCACUUCACCAACUCUAACUAAACCAGCUGAAAAAUAUCAUGCAGGUGAUGUGUGAAAAUAAUUUAGCCUUUCAUAUGUUACGGAAUCAAAUAAAUGAGGGUAAGUCGUCACAGGUAGUUUGAAAUAGUUGCUGGUUGAUCUUAUCGUUACUCAUGAUUUGUCUACAGUUUGGUUGCACAGUUUGGCCUACAUACAAAACAUUGUAAAGAACAUAAUGCUUAAAACAAUGACAAAAUUUAUUACCUCAGUUGGGGUUAGCGUAAAUGUCGUAACUGUGGUAACAUUUAGAGAUUAAUAAUAAUAUGCAAUACCAAUGUAAUUCCUCUAUUGUUGAGAUGGUCUGAACUCAAAUUGGUUUACCUAUAUGACAGAAAGAACGAAAUUAGGAUUAAAAAUCUUACCAAAACCUUAUUACUAUUAGCAUGCAAAACUUGUUCUCUUAAACUUGAACUUAAACUUGUUCAUUUACAUUCAAAGUUUUUAUAUACCAUUAUCAUUAUAACGUGUAUAAAGUAACUUGCAUGCGCCAAAAAAACCCCAACAAAAGCAUGUAAACAGGAUGUGCGUAAGUUGAAAAGAGGCGCAAUCGAGUGCUAGUCCAAUGAGUAAAAGGAAUUCGGUGUUUGCAUCUUCAAGGCUCGGCUGACCGGAAAAAUUGGUGAAGUCUGAGCACCGUACGUUAAUCGUAACGACAUCGCCACAGUCCGCCUUGUUCUAUUCAAUACCCUCGCUCAGAGAAGCUUUACCAUUUCCGCUGACCCAUCCUAUCCUCUAUUAAUUCGUGAAGAAUCAUUGCGCGAACCAGACUGAAGAACUAAUGGAUCCAUCGGUGAACCUAUAUGUAAACCUGAAUCCCAAGAUCAAUAACCCAAGAUUACAACAAUCAGACAUACACUUCAAAGUGGAUAAAAAAAUCCAAAUAGAAGCUCCAAAAACAUAAAUAAAUCAACUGAUUAGAAGUGAAACUGAAAAGUAUAAACACAAACAAACAGACCUGAAAUCCAACCGAAAACACUGGGCAGCUGUGACCCGCGAGAGUUGAUAGUACCGGGAUAAAAAAUCAGAAGCAACCUCUGCUAGCGCGGGGGCGAUUGAAGGAUCAACUGUCGCCGAUGAUUACUUUUGGUUGUCGUAUGUCAGCAAACCUCUUACAUUCGAAGAGACCAGAGGCGCGACACAUCGUUUUCUAGAGGAUGCGACACGCGAAACUUUUGUUUUAUUUUCAAGCUAUCGAAAUCUUGCUGCAACUAAUUAAUGCUUGAUUCAUUCACGAACCCAUUUGUUAAUCAUGAAAUUAGGCAUUCACAUACCAUUCAUAGACAUAAAGUAAGAUAACGAAUAGGCAUGGUUGUAAAAGUCGCUAGGCGCUCCCUAGUCAGAUUCGGGAGUACUCGGCUUAGGCGGAGAUUACUCGGGGAGUAAUUGGCCUGGGAGAAGAGUACUUGUGCCUCGGCAUCCUGCCUUGUAGCGAGUACUCGGGGAGUACUCGGAGCCUAAGCGGGACUUUUACAAUAGGGAUCAUCACCUCGAGGCAUGCGCCCCAACGGCUUUUUUUAAACCAUCAAUCUAACAACAAAGUAAGGUAACAAAUAAGGACAC